Molecule: long non-coding RNA, 7849 nt
Filed under: Chlamydomonas reinhardtii
Lineage: Eukaryota; Viridiplantae; Chlorophyta; Chlorophyceae; Chlamydomonadales; Chlamydomonadaceae
Description: long non-coding RNA (CREI_LNC001262)
Source: RNAcentral
ACCCGUCCGUCCAGAUGACAGUGGCCGCGUCAUAGAGCGGCCGGGAGAUGGCUGGGAAGCGGUCCCGGAGGGCGUUCAGUUCCGCUUGGAUGGGCGGGGAGACUGUGCAGGUGGGCGGGGCCGGGGGUGUUGGCGGGGUGCGGUGUGUUGCCUGUCGCGCCCGGGUUUGGGCUCGGUGGCUGUAUGGCCGUGAGGUGGGUUGGUGGCGGUCUCUGGGGAGGGUGAUUUGGCGCGGCCAUCGCGCUACAGCAGCUGUGGUGAGUGGCGAGAGGCAACAUAGACGCAACAUAGGCGACAUAGGCAACGUCUUAAGCAUAAUAUGAUUCUGUGUGUGUAGUUGCUCACAACCAAAAGCCUGAUAUCAGUGACACGAUGGCCGAUGCGAUGCGCGAACCGAGCCUGCCCUAUUGGAUACGCGCAAUGGAGCUCUGAAUGGAUAAACUUGAUGGCCAAACAGUAGGCAAAACAGGCUGCGCAGUUGUCACUCCGCUCAUUUCUCGACAUUUAAUAACAAGUAAGUAUGCGUUUCCAACACCAUAGCGAGCUGUAACGGCCUCGAGUAUGGUCAUGUAUAGUAGGAUACAGGGAAGGAUACUAAGGAGGAACACGGAGAGCGAAAUUUGCAAUGGGACCGGGCAUAGGCUGCAUGGGACGUACUAGCUAUAGCACGUACUAACCCUUGCUCGCCGGCGUAUUGGUUGUUGUCACUUGCAAGCAGUGAAAGCGGUAGGACAGCAGAAUGCACUACUAAGAGCAGACAUGUUACCUCAAAUGGACGGUCACCGCCGUCCGCUGCUGAGGCCGCCGGUGGAGAACCACCAUGUACCAAAUGAAACCACGGAAACUGCUAGGUCGCUGGCAGGCUUGCAAUACACGGCGGGUCGUGGAACGGAGCGUAUGGGACCAACCUGCUGGAAACACCAGCGCCACCGACGCCCAGCAACACACAGCAACAUGUGGGGAAGGGAGCUGAGGGAGCACGAGGGCGCAAAACAAGCGGGGCCGUGGGGGAUGUAGGACACUAACCAACGCCGAGAAGGCAGGUGCAACAAAUACAACGCUGGGCUGGCGGGCCGGCAUGGCUGCUGAGGGCUGGGGGCUGGCGCGAGCUGUGCGAGGGGGUGCAAGAGGUGGAGUGGAAUAAAUAGGACAUAUGCAAUUGCUUUAAAAGUCGGCGGCAGCGAUCCACAAACAGCGGCCGCAGGGGCGGCGGCAUCACAGGAACAGCGGCCACAGGGGCGGCGGCGACACAGGGACAGCAGCCGCGGGGGCGGCGGCGGCGCCACGAGAAACGCUGAAUAGAAGAGCUUCACCAAUCACCAGAAAUGUACCUGCGCCACUACUAUGGUGCGGAGCUGAGCAGAUGAAACCUGAAAGGCCGUACGGCUGCAGCCGUGUAUGGGGUGUGCAAUGGGACACGGAAUUUUUUUGUCAUGAAAAGUAAAAUGUAAUUAGCGUGAUGGAUAGCGUACGUACAGUGUAUGCAGGGUAUUCAAUCGCCAUUGUAAAAAGAACAUGCAUCAAAAACUUAUGUGCAAAAAUGUCAUUGGGUUACCUGGGGUUCCUUGUCCCUCCUCGUGCCCCCCUCGUGCCUCUCCCCAGCCCUAACGGCGUUACCUCGCUCGUGAACCCACUAACGCAUGUGACCUGCUCACUCCUGGUUGUCCUCAGACGUGCUUGGCCUGGACCUCAUCACUCCAAAACUUACUUAUGUCUUCCCUAUACUAGUGCAUACCGCAGCCCUCUACACCAGCCAUCCACCCGCGAUCAUACAUGUACCCCGCCCCGCCUAUCACGCCUUGGGCACCGGCUGGCCCGUGACCAGCUUCAGCAUGUGAUGCACAGUGUUGCGCAGCCAGCCCAUCUUGCCACGCACACGAGACGCCACACGCUUGUUUAUCGCCCCUUCCCGCUUGUGCUUCAGAGCUGCGUUCACGAUCUUCACCCCGCUGUUCCACUUGCUGCCGUCCACAUGCCCUGCAGCGCCGCCUGCGUCCGCGAGCGUGGCAGCUAGCAUCAGCUCGUGCUCCUUGUAGGCGCCACGAGUCCUGCGCUUACGCAUGCUGAAGCCCCGUGUGGCGCGCGCCUGCUGCCGCAGGCGGUGCAUGAAUGUGAUCCUGGGUGUGGCACCCUUGAUCACGCGCAGGGACGGCUUGCCACCGCACAGGCACACGAGCAGCGAGAAGAACAGCUCGCAGCAGUCCGAGCUGAAUGAGCGCUCGCAUAGCUCUGCACGCCACUCCACCGGCAGCCGCUGCAAAACCUCCAGCCGCGUGUCGCCGUUCACCAGCCAGCUGGUCACGUUCUGCAGUGUGAAGCCAUUGACGUAGGUGGGCAGGGAAGGCUUGGCGCUGCCGUGUAGCACGCGCGCGGUGAAGAGCGUGUUGCCCAACAUGCGCUGAAGCAUGUAGGUGCGCCGCAGGAUCCGUAGCGCCCGCUCCACGGGCUCCCAGCCGCACUCAUCAAAGGCCUCAAAGGCCUCGAUCAGGGUGCGCAGCACGACUGCCUCCCGCACGAACCCGUACGUCCGCAGGGCUGCGUGCAGCGGCACACAGCCUAUCCAGUACUGGGCGCAUGGUACUGACUGGGAGUCAGUCUCGCCACGGAUUAUGGCCAGGAGUGCGCCUGGGUCCAGGUUACCGUACCGCUCCACACGCUCUGCCGGGCAGGUGGCCUGAUACUCGCUCGCAAGUUCGUUGGCCACAGCCAUACCCACCACGCGGCCGAACAAAGCCAAACCAACCUGGCGACUGGACUCCAGCAGCCGCUGCUGUUGUCCCCAGCUGCUCGGGAGAUGGGGGUGCGCUCGUGUCCAUGCGCACGGGGCCACCUACACGGUAAGAGGGGCGGGUCACAUACACAGUAGGAAACGGUUCAAGCUCAGCCUACAGCGCCAGGCAACAAUUGCGCCCGCCCCCAUCGGACCUGGCGAGUCUGGGCUGGCAACGCCUGCAGGCGAUUGAGCCCCAGCGGUCACCAGCAUGCUGAUAGCCUGCGCACGUGUGGCUGCAAUCACAAACGGACAGGGCGUCAAUUACAGCCUUGGCCCAUGCCCAGCGCCAGGCAGCGUGCGUAACUUCCGACAUUGCUUGCGCUGCCCGUACACACCUGCCCGCCCCUGGUACGGAGAAAGCAAGCCUGUAACAGCGCGAGCUUCCCGCUGCAGCUCCUCCAGCUUCUCUUUCUUGCCCACCGCAGCGCGGGGCGCCCGAAUGGCAGGGGGUGCAGGCUGGAGCUUGACAGCGGCACGGGUGCGAGGCUGCGCCUGCGCCUGCGCCUGCAGCUCCUUCUGACGCGGCUGCAGCGUGUUAUGGUAACAUGUGCUAUGAACACAUGGCUCUGGAGCUCUGGACCCCUGCUGCCGGCGGACUGCGAGCACCGCAGCGUUGACCCCGCAUGGCGCGUAGUUUUCUAGGUUGACAGUGCGAAUGCCUUUUCCUCUUGCACGAGCGACCUUUGCACAUACCAGACAGUAGUUACAUAACGUGCCAUCUGAAUAGGAGACUUUGAGCUCGGUCAUUGUGGGGAAUUACAUCGCGACUUAACAACAGUACACGGUAGGUGCCAAAGCUAGUUAUAUUCGAGUUGAGCUAUGAUUCUAUGUAUAUGUAUGUUCCGAGAAACGGAAUUGGAGCUUGGACACACCGACCGCGCCCACAAACCCUGGGGUGGUACCCGCGUGUCUGCACCCUAAUGAGGAACUGGGACGAGCAAUCUGCAUUUACUUUGCCGUUGUUAAUGGCAGGCGCUGACUUCAGCUUUCAAGAAGCCAGAUCGUUGACAUGCCGCCCGGCACGCGCAGCACGGCCACGCUCCCCGCACCUCCCUACAUACCUGGCUGCAAGAUAGGGUGAGGCGCGCCCAGCAGAGGGAGGCCGCCCGCCUGCACGCCAUCAAGUGCGCCACCACGGCCCGCCUGACCACCUUCAAGAAGCACGGUACUCAUUCCAUGCACUGGCCUAUGGAGGCUGGCAAGCUGCUAAAUGCGGCGCUGCGCAAGGGCACUGGCGCCCCAGGGGCCCUGCCAGCUAUUGUGCCGCGUGGUUCCACAAGUCCACUAUCCGUGACGCCGCGCGCCCCAGCCGCCCUUCCAAUUUGGCCCCUUCCCUAUGGCAGCCAAAUGACCAGUUACGGGGCUGUUGGCGUUUGCGGGCCCUUGACGGGCCCCCCAGGGGGGAUGGGUCACGGGCCCCCUCGCCAGCGUGACGGGGCUCGGGGGGCCGUGGGGCCUGCGUGCCGAGCGCGCCCACACCGGGCACUCGCGGAACGGGCCCUCUCGGCCCCGUUACGGCCGGCUGUUUGAUUGGUUUCGUGGGACAGCUGGGACUACUGCGAUAGCGAGCUGUUGGAACGAAUGUUGCGUCAUCGUGAUACAUAUUUAGGUAGAUCUGAAAGAGCAUCGGUAUCGAUAUGGACAGGCCUAGCGACACAGGCGCGAGACAGUCCUUGAUUCAUUAAACGUCCUCAACGCGUUCGCAGACCGUAUUGUUGAAAUAGGUGAUACAAUGAACUGCUAUUUAUGUGUACGGAAAUGAACCAGGUCUACAGAGUACAGACGUUGACACGCGCAAAGUUCACAGGAUCCAUGAAACUCGCGGUUCCCGUACGGCAUUUGCCCCCCCCCACACACACACACACACACACACACACAGUCACACACCAAGCGCCGGGCGGAAUCAGCAAUUCGGUACAGAGCAUCUUCGCCCCCACUGAAAUUGCAAGUCCACCGCAAGUCUGGGGACUUCACUAUUGCACGCUGCCAGGCAUGCACGUUUGCAUGGCAGGUGCGGCAUAGUAGGUGCGGUGACUCACGUUCGUGUGAGGGAGGGGGAUGGGCAACACCGAAACACACAAUUGCCGUGCUACCAGCGGUUUUCCGUGGCAGGUGCGGCGAGGAUUUGUGUGGGGGAAGCGAAAAGGGGCCCCACCAAAAUACACAAGGGCGUGCUACCAGCGGGUGGUGCUACCAGCGGGUGGGCGUGGCAAAUGCGGUGAAUGUUUGUGCGAGGGAGGAGGGAACGGGCAACACGGAAGCACACAACGUGCCAUGCUACCAGCUGGUUUCCGUGUCAGGUCGGGCUAGCACUCGUAUGGGGGAGUAGGGAAGAGGCCCCGCUCAAAUACAGAAUUGUGUGGUGCUACCAGCGGGUUUCCGUGGCGGGAAGGGGGAAGGGGCCCGGACAAACACACAAGGGUGUGGUGCUACCAGCGGGUGGGCGUGGCAGGUGCGGGGAGCACUCGUAUGGGGGAAGAGGAAAGGGGCCCCGCCCAAACACACAACGUGCCGUGCUACCAGCGCAUUUGCAUGGCAUGUGCAGGGCAGCGAGCACCUGCGUGGGAGAAGAGGGAAGGCGCCCCGCCCAAGCACGCAGGGUUGUAUGCUACCAGUGGGUUUCCGUGGCAGGUGCGGGUGAGGAUUUGUGUGGGGGAAGAGGGAAGGGGCCCCGCCCAAACACACAACAUGCCGUGCUACCAGCGCAUUUGCAUGGCCGGUGCGGGGAGCACUCGUAUGGGGGAAGAGUGAAGGGGCAACACCGAAACACAUAACGUGCCAUGCUACCAGCGCAUGUGCAUGGCCGGUGCGGGGAGCACUCGUAUGGGGGAAGAGGGAAGGGGUCCCGCCCAAACACACAAUAUGCCGUGCAACCAGCGCAUGUGCAUGGCCGGUGCGGGGAGCACUCGUAUGGGGGAAGAGGGGAGGGGCCCCGCCCAAACACACAACGUGCCGUGCUACCAGCGCAUGUGCAUGGCCGGUGCGGCGAGCACUCGUAUGGGGGAAGAGGGAAGGGGUCCCGCCCAAACACACAGUAUGCCGUGCUACCAGCGCAUGUGCAUGGCCGGUGCGGGGAGCACUCGUUUGGGGGAAGAGGGAAGGGGUCCCGCCCAAACACACAAUAUGCCGUGCUACCAGCGCAUGUGCAUGGCCGGUGCGGGGAGCACUCGUAUGGGGGAAGAGGGGAGGGGCCCCGCCCAAACACACAACAUGCCGUGCUACCAGCGCAUGCGCAUGGCAGGUGCGGGCGAGGAUUUGUGUGGGGGAAGAGGGAAGGGGCCCCGCCCAAACACACAACGUGCCGUGCUACCAGCGCAUGUGCAUGGCCGGUGCGGGAAGCACUCGUAUGGGGGAAGAGAAAAGGGGCCCCGCCCAAACACACAACGUGCCGUGCUACCAGCGAAUUGGCAUGGCAUGUGCAGGGCAGCGAGCACCUGCGUGGGAGAAGAGGGAAGGCGCCCCGCCCAAGCACGCAGGGUUGUAUGCUACCAGUGGAGUUCCGUGGCAGGUGCGGGUGAGGAUUUGUGUGGGGGAAGAGGGAAGGGGCCCCGCCCAAACACACAACGUGCCGUGCUACCAGCGCAUUUGCAUGGCCGGUGCGGCGAGCACUCGUAUGGGGGAAGAGGGAAGGGGCCCCGCCCAAACACACAGCGUGCCGUGCUACCAGCGCAUGUGCAUGGCCGGUGCGGGGAGCACUCGUAUGGGGGAAGAGGGAAGGGGCCCCGCCCAAACACACAACAUGCCGUGCUACCAGUGCAUGUGCAUGGGCGGUGCGGCGAGCAUUCGUAUUGGGGAAGAGGGGAGGGGCCCCGCCCAAACACACAACGUGCCGUGCUACCAGCGCAUGUGCAUGGCCGGUGCGGCGAGCACUCGUAUGGGGGAAGAGGGAAGGGGCCCCGCCCAAACACACAACAUGCCGUGCUACCAGCGCAUGCGCAUGGCAGGUGCGGGCGAGGAUUUGUGUGGGGGAAGAGGGAAGGGGCCCCGCCCAAACACACAACGUGCCGUGCUACCAGCGCAUGUGCAUGGCCGGUGCGGGAAGCACUCGUAUGGGGGAAGAGGGAAGGGGCCCCGCCCAAACACACAACGUGCCGUGCUACCAGCGCAUGUGCAUGGCCGGUGCGGGGAGCACUCGUAUGGGGGAAGAGGGAAGGGGUCCCGCCCAAACACACAAUAUGCCGUGCUACCAGCGCAUGUGCAUGGCCGGUGCGGGGAGCACUCGUAUGGGGGAAGAGGGAAGGGGCCCCGCCCAAACACACAACGUGCCGUGCUACCAGCGCAUGCGCAUGGCCGGUGCGGGGAGCACUCGUAUGGGGGAAGAGUGAAGGGGCAACACCGAAACACAUAACGUGCCAUGCUACCAGCGGGCUUCCGUGUCAGGUGGGGCAAGCACUCUUAUGGGGGAGUAGGUAAGAGGCCCCGCUCAAACACACAGUUGCGUGGUGCUACCAGCGGUUGUGCGUGACAGGUGCGGUGAAGAUUGUGUCAGGGGGGAAGGGAAUAGGCAACACCGACAGACACACACACACACACACACACACACACACACACACACACACACACACACACACACACACACACACACACACACACACACACACCGUUCAGGGACGCAUUAACUUGCACGGUGCGGGCUGCCAAGAUUGCCUUGCGCUUGCAAGGGCGGGGCAGAGUCCAGAUUUCGCCCAAGAGAUCACAUUGCUAGGAAUACAAUAUUAACCAGCGCGCCAACAUCCAUUUUCUGUGCAGGGCACGGCAGGACGCAGCUGCUGGGCAGGGUGCAGCGUGGCGGCGCAACUUGGCGGGCGGUGGCAUGGCUAAGCUGGGUAGCUUGGUGGCGAAGCAUCCGAGGAGCAUGCAUGCGUCGGAUGAUUUACCAACGGUGGUGUACUGUUGAUGCUAGACAGAUUCUAUGUGAAUCGGCAAGCUUAGGACCUGGCGGUGGUCGCUUGCACAUGGACACAUACCGUAUGGACAUCGCACGUACAUGCAGCCAAGGAGCCCCGGGGCGCCCCACGGGGGCACUUCAAUGCAAUGCACUAUUUGCAAGUGAUGUAACCCAGAACCGCUUCCUGA